This 23554-nucleotide long non-coding RNA is filed under the name Marmota monax (woodchuck). Lineage: Eukaryota; Metazoa; Chordata; Mammalia; Rodentia; Sciuridae. The record is from RNAcentral.
CGCAUCUUAGGAGAAUGACAACUCUGUCUCCAAGACUGCGUUGUUGUCGAAGGCCAUUGUUGAAUGCACAAAGUUUGUUUUUUUCCCCUUUCUGGGGCUGGCGGGGUAGCCCCGUGGGUACCCAGGGUCUCCCUAAAUUGCGAAGCCGAUUUUGAACUUGUGAUCCUCCUGCUCCGCCCUCCUGAGUGGCUGGAAUUACAGGCACCACCAGCAGUUAUGGCCGCCAGUCCAUGGCACGCCAGCCCAAACUCUUGAAACUUGAAGGUGGUGCUGAGUCAGGCGUGUUUGGGAGAUAAUGGCGUGCAAGGGUUGCUCUGGAGGUGCCUGUCAGGGAGGUGUCUAGGGCAGGAGGUGCCAGCCACGUCCUGGGAGUGUGUUGACGUGGGUUCUCCUGUCACUUUGUGAGUUGGCCCUGCCUUCCAGAAGGAGCCUGUGGGGGGAAAGGGAGGUCUGUCACGAGGCGGGCUGCUCCCUGGCCUUGUCCUCCUCUGGGUGGCCCUCCCUCCCCGCCUGUGAGGUGGUCCUGCACACCCCGCCUGGAGCGCUGGGUGGGCCCUCCUGGGAGGCAGUGCUCAGGCCUCCUGAAGGGCGUCCCCUGUGCCCCUCUUCACCUCAGGGUGAUCCUUCUGACAGACACUUGGAGGUUACAGUGUGGUUGCGUGUAGGCUUCCGCAGUGGGCUCUCCCUUUAAAUUGGGCUCUUCCUCUCCCAGGUGGUGGAGGACAUCGAAUACCUCAAGUACGACAAGGGGCCGUGGCUCAGCCAGGACGACCGCACCUUCCACAACCUGCGGCUGCUGUGAGUGCCCCUGUGGGCGGGGAGCAGGGGCAGCGCUGCCUCCAAGUGCAGUCCUGGGUCUGGUCCGCAACCAGGGUUCGGGGUUCAAGUGAGGCGUUAGUGGCGCCAGCCAGCACCACGUGUAUUGAUUUCCUCUUUCCUUCCAGGCAGCUGUUGGGUGCCUGGUUGGGUCGCUACUUAUUUGGCUGCCGACAUUAAUUCAGCAGAGAUUCUGCUCCGCUCUGCGCUGGGCACUGUUCCAGGUUCAGGGCACGUGGCAUCAACGCAGAGAUGUCUCCUGUGGGGACACAGAAACAGCUGUGCUGGGUCCUGGAGGCUCUGAGGAGGGGUGGUGCUGUGUGGGCUGGGCAGCCCCCGGCACUGUCACUGUGCAGAACCCUCCUGCAGAGGCCUCAGCAGAGCCAGGACUGGGCCCCACGCAUCGGCCAGAGCAGGGGCAGCAGGUGGAGAGGCUCUGAGGCAGGAGUGAGCCCGGGGUGCCCAGAGUCUGGGUCCUGGUCCUGCGACCUCUUGCCUUCCCCGCUGGCCUCCUGCGUGGGACUCCCGCUUUCUCCUGUGUGGGCCACGCCAUUCCUGCCCCCAGGGUCUGCUCCCGCAGCCUUGGAUGGGCUCUCAGGGCACUGAGCGUCUUGCUGGCUCACAGCCAUCUUCACGGCCUCGUCGCAGCCGUGCUCUGGCCUCCAUGGGUGGACUCCAGGUGGCAGGAGGCCUGUCUGUUGCCCCGAGGGCCUUGGCACAGGAGUCACACAGAAGCGCACUUGGGAGGGAGGUCUGCGGCGAGCUGUCCUCAUCGCUUUUAGGACCACAAUUCCUGCAAAGCUCAGGAAUUGGCAAAGAAAGUGCUGUUGGUCGUGAUGACUUGUAAGUGUGAAUAGUUAGCUCAUAGCAGCAGGGCUGAGCUGGGUGCGUGGUGUUUGGGGCCUGCUUCUCAUUUGAAGUCCUGGCUGCCACCGGGGCCUUUCUGGGUCAUCUCUGGCCAUCUCCCAAGAACACCUUCUCAGGGCCCCUGCCCUUCAGCAUGGAAGCCUCACUCCCCUUGGCUUUCCUGGGCCUGUCUGGGGCAGGGAUGGCCUUGGCGCAUGUCCUCUCACCUUGAUCUCAGAGGGACGUGACGGUGGUGUUGAACCCCGACAUGAAGAAAAGACCUCUGACUCCAGUUUUAAAUCAGAUUAAAGCAAGCUUGUAUUUGUGUGCACAGGAGCAGGCCAGGACUGUCUCUCCUGAAAACCCCGGGCUGCAGACCAGCCCCCAGCUCUCCAGGAACAUGAUUUUAUAGCACAAAAAGUUGCAAAGGCGGGGGUGUCUUGAGAACUUAGAGACAAUGGGGUUCUGACAGUCAUGGUACAGAGUCAGAGAGCAGCUUAAUGAUGGACGUGGCAUGAUAGUUAAGGAAGGGAGCAGAUUCAGAUCCCCACAUCAGGGUUUGUGAGGCCCCCUGAGGUUUCAGAGAGGGCUGUUAUCUGGUCAGGUGUGGGGAGUUCAAGGCACGGGCAGGCAUUCCAAGCUAGAAUUUAUAGAAUUAGAAUUUAGAAAUCGCAGGAAUUUACAGCGAAGCAGAAACUAACUUUCCAUGGCUUUGUGACAAGAUGGCUCCCAAUCUUAAGAGGGAAUUAGGCUGGGCUCCUCAGGUGGCUGCAGAGGUGGCCCUGUGUCUGGUGGCAGCUCCUUCUUGGUGCUGCUGUGUCAUUGGCCCUUGAUCUUGAUUGUGUGGGCAGGAUCUGCGGGAGGUGAGUGAAGCAGUCCUCUCGAGAGCUCCAGAGGGUCGGUGGCUCACGGCACAUGUAACUAAGAGGUCCCCGAUCCCUGCAGGCCUGAGCUGAGCUUCCCUCUGUCUCUGGUGCAGGGUCACUGGCAGAAAGGACCAGUGAGUCUGCCGAGUGCCUGUGCUCCCAGCACUGUGCUCAGUGGUGUUCAGGUCACAGUCAUGUUUACGAGUCCAGAUCAGACUGGGUCCUGUGUUCGUCACUGUCAGUGAGACCUGCCCCCCAGUUAAGGGAACGGGUGCUGGUGUAGCAGGCAUGAGGAGGCCACAGGCAGGCAGAUGCGGCAGGUCAACUCCAGGCUGUGGUCCUGGGACUGUCGCUCUGCACAGGAGAGUGGGGAGCUAAAACUCCGAACGUCCAUCCGUGUGCCCUAGCAAAGGGAAAUCUAGGGUCAGACCCCAAAGCCAGGCAGCAGAGCUUUGCCACAGUGGGGGUGAAGUGAGACCCGGGCACAGAGCGCCUGGGGCGGGCCCUUCUCCUGCGGAGGCCACAGGGGGCAGCGCUGCUGCGGCCAAGCCUGUCGCUGUUUGGCGUCUGCCGGGAGAACUGGCCCCACCGUCCAGGCUCCCGAGUCACGGCUCUCUCCUCCCCAGGCCCCCGGGAGGUCUUGAGCCUCGCAGGUCCUCUCCUCACUGUCAAGAGGACAUCCUGCACGGGGACAUCCUGCUCAGGGGGCUGCUUCCACAAGCCAGUCCCAGGUUAAUGACGGUGCUGCCAUCAACGAUGGGGAGAUUAACUUAGUGCUCCUGCUGGGGCGAACUGUCCCUUCUGAAGUUCCCACAGAAACCUGUGGCCUAGGUCCUGACCUCAGGGUGCCCUCGGCAGACCCCGCCAGGAGCCAGCUGCCUUGGCCGAUCCUCUUGGUGGGUUUCAUAGUUGGCUCCCUUGCUCCCGCCUGUUCACCCCCGGGGCAGGCCCACCUGCUGCCGUGUUCCAGGUACUGGAUUGUUCAUCAAAGGAAUCCAGAAAAGCCUGUGACCUGCCGUGGUACUGGCCACACGUCACUGCCCAUUACCAGUUAGUACCUAACAACUUGAUCUGUGGUGCCUGGUAUUUUCAUCUGUAAACUUUGGCACAGAAGUAAAAGGCUAAGCUCUAUUUUCUGAAGAGAAAACAAGACCGCUCUCCAUAUGAGUUUUGUAUGUUGUCCAUUUCAUGGACUCACUGCCCUCGAAAACUGUCUUAAGCCAAGUAAACACAGCUUCUGUCUAACUAAGAAGGUCCGGGAAUGGAGCUCAGUGGUAGAGCACUCUGGGGUCCAGUCCCCAGUGCAAAACCCAGUAACGCAGAGCUGGUCUGAAGGACUUGGACAGCGCCUGUCUUGGGCACCAGGUUGAGCCAGUGUCCAUCGCAGGUGACCACAUUGUACAGUGGAGGUGCACAGCCCUUAGCACCAAGCAAAGGCACGUGGUAUGAGGGGCUGUGAGGCUGCCCUUUCCUGGCUCACUCUGCCCUGUCCACUCACUGCCUUGUGGACACUUGCCAGGCCAGCGGCUGUGGAGCUGAGCUUCCCAGGGUGGCUCACUCCUUUCUCCCAGGUCUUCGGGCCUCGCCCCAGAUCCAGUGGUUGUCGGCUGCCACUCUCCCAUUGAAUGCCCUGGGCCAUUGCUUCUGAGCUGAGUGCCCUGUAUGGGUCUCCGCCCGCUCACCUGUGGCUGUGCCGUGAGCAGUGUCCUGUCCCGUGUGCCCGCUGCCUCCAUCACCUCAGUGUCCUGAAGCCUUGCUUGGAAUUGAGUGGGGGCUGAUUCCCACUGUAGCUCGUCACCGUUUGUGAGCUGUGAGCUUUCUGUGGAGUAAGGGAAGACUUUAAAGGAAGGUCACCUGGGCUGACGGAGCACUCGGGAGUUGAGGUUUGUGGGCAGAGUGCCCAGGCCCCACAGGGUGGAGGAGAGCGAGACACAACUGCCUUGCUCCCUCAAGGUCCAGGCUCCCAGCAGGAGGCUGUGAAUGGGCAAGGACAGGCUCAUGAGAGGCAGACCCAUUCGCGGCCAAGAGCUGGGCACAGAGGCUAAGGACAGCAUCUCGAGGUCACAAGCCCUUCCUCUGAAGGGCCACACAGAGGCUGAAGCCACACAUAGCACCUGCUGCUGCUCCACAGCGGCCAGGACGCAUGCGUGGUCCUCACCGUCUCCUGGACGCUCACCUUGUAUAACGGCACGAGCAUUUCUCUGUUUUUCUGAACGUUCAACAGUCUGACUUUUCUAAUAGCUUCCCCUGCGUGCCCUGACUGAGGGGCAAGAUGGGGGGCACACCGCUGCCCGCGGGCCAGGUCCAGCCUUGGCUGCUCUCAGGAGGGAGGAGAAGUGGGUGCCACAGAAGCUGUGUAGCCACGAAGCUGAGUGUGUUCUGUGUGGCCUGAAUGUGCAGUUGCAUCAUGUGCCCUCUGUUGCAGGGUACAUGGAGAUGUGCUCUGUGGCUCAGGUCUGGAGACUGCGGGCCCAGGGGCAGUUGUGGGUCAGCCUCUUGCUUGUGCUGCAGGGGCCGGAGCUACCAGUGCCCUGGGCAGGUGACGCCAUCUUGCCCUCCCUGCACUGACCUGGCCUCUACCUGUCCUGUGUCCCGUUGGAGUGGUUCCUGUCUGCCUCUCUUGCUUCUGCUGCCUUUGUGGUCUGUGCCCAUCUGCAUCUUGCUCUCCUACCUGUCCAGUACAUGCCUCUACCAGGCUAGUGUCCAACACAAAUGUCACAAGACCUGCUGUUUCUUUCCAGAAUCUUUCGGUGGCUUGUCCUCAUCCGGUUGUAGAUCCAGAUUUCAUUUUCUAGAGUUGACCCAGAACCCGAGGUGUCUGCCCGGCUUGGCUGCCUACACUGAGCCUGCCCACCCCUCCGCCCAGCCGUGGCCUGCACUGAGCCUGCCCACCCCUCCGCCCAGCCGUGGCCUGCACUGAGCCUGCCCACCCCUCCGCCCGGACGUGGCCUGCACUGAGCCUGCCCGCCCCUCUGCCUGGAUGUGGCCUGCUUGUCCUGGCGCACUCUCAAGCCUGUGUGGAGUCGCUUUCUCUUUUCUCCCUGGCUCUCCUGACUGCCUGUGGGCCUGUGUGCCCCUGUUGGCUGCUGCUGAUUCUGCCAGGCAGAGCGUGAGCUGGCCGCAGGAGGGGUGCUGUCCUGAAGCCACAGCCUCGGGAUGUCUGGCUGGCCCCUCUAGUGACGGUACCUUGUCAGUUUCUAAACGCCUUCUGAAGUGUUUGUUGAUCUUGAUUCUCUACCAUGCCUAAAACUGAUGUCCUAAGACCAUUAUUUUAGUAGUUACUUGGUCAUCUGCUUAUCAAACAGAAGGACCCUGUAACUGCCCGUCUCAUACGCCACAGCGUCCAGUGAGUCGUCCUGGUUCAGCUCGCUGUGGUCUGGUCCUUUCCUUUUCUCCUAUUCCUUGUCCUCCCCUGGACAUCUCGUGACAUUUUACAAUGGUGUUGUCUUUAUUUUCCUUUGAUCACCAUUUCUGAAGUGGACAUCGCCGGUUUCUGCGAUGAUCAUCCUAGGUGUUUUGUCCAGACCGGCUGAAUGGCCAGUCCAGAGCACCGCGGUUCCUCCCGAGCCACGGUGUAGGUGUGUGAUCCACUGUGCAUGCCCAUGCUGAGGGGUGGUGACUGGCUUUGGUCUUGCUGGCCCUGCGAUCCCCUCUGUGGCCCACGACUGGCGCCUGCCCAGUGGGCCUGGCCUGUGAGGAGCGUGGUUCCAGCGGGGCGCCCCAUGUGCAGGCCUCUGUCUGGUCUUCCUGCUUCCCAGAGCCCAGGCCUCCCACUCCGAGCUGCCCCCAGCUUGGAGCCCUUCAGCUUUGCAGCCCGGCGUCCCACACUGCAGAGGCUUGGGGUCCCCCGUGCAGGUGCAGUCUCCCUGCAGAACGCUGUGGGCUGGGUGAGCCGGCUGGGACCUAGGAGAAAGUGGACUUUCUGGUGAUUGGGACACAGUUUGAGCCAUAAAAUCUUAUUUUCCAUCUUAUUCUUUUCUGUCUUCCAGUCUCACUCUUUUCUUUUGAUAACUGCAAACCACACUAACGCAGCUUUUCUUUUUAAUUUGGACGCUCGGCCUAAGACAAUGGAUUAUUCUGUCAGAUGUUGGUCCUUAAAGUACACACCGUGCUUGUGCUUCCCUUCCCUGUUUUCCUCUGCAUCUGGAGAGGCUCCUGGUGUCUUUGCUCCUUGGUGGCACCAUAGGCCAGCAGAGGCGCAGGCUUCGGGCUCAGUGGGGCUGCACCCUGGCCCUUCCCAGGUCCUGGAACCCAGUGCUGCCUGGUUCCCAUGAGCCGGGGCAGCGGCCAUGUGUGGCUUCCCUCAUCUUCAGCAUCCUGAGAAGCACGUUCUCUGGAAGAUUCUCAGGGCAGUGUGCAAAUUAUAAUUCUGCCAAGUCAGACGUAGAUGGCACCGUUGCUCUGUGUGCUCCCCACGUUUGCUGGUCAGUAAGUCCUUCCAAAUUUUCUAGAUUUUUCUUAGGGUUUUCAACUGUGGAGAAAACCAAAUCAGCCUCUAGUCACCACGGUAUUUGUUAAUGUUUAUGUGAACUUCGUUUUUAUUUGAAUCUUACUGUGAGAUGGCUUUAGAAAGUUAUGCAGUAACAGGUGUAGAAGAGUCGGACCUGUGAACAGUGAGGAGCUGUGUGCUUACCUGUCACUGAGGUGCAUGUGCACAACUGGAAGCCCCACGCAGCUGGGAGGGAGGGUCCUGUGCUCUGAGGGCUCAGCAGCAGCCAGGUUGUGUUUCUGGCAGCCCAGAGCACAGCCACUUUGUGCCCUUGCAGACUUCCCAAUACACUUGCCUGAGUUUUUAAAAAUAUUUGGUCUUUCGGCAGAUAAAAUCAACUUGACAUUGAAAUUAAGAAAGUGAUCUUACGGGCUGGGGAUGUGGCUCAAGCAGUAGCGUGCUCGCCUGGCAUGCGUGCAGCCCGGGUUCGAUCCUCAGCACCACAUACAAACAAAGAUGUUGUGUCCGCCCAAAACUGAAAAAUAAAUACUGAAGAAUUCUCUCUCUCUCUCUCUCUCACUCUCUCUCUCUUUCUUUAAAAAAAAAAAAAAAAAGAAAAAAAGAAAGUGAUCUUACCUUUGAGUGUGUACAUGGUAGCCGUUUGCCCAGCCAAGUGGAACUCCCCGUGAGCAUUGAGGGGCACCAGCAGACAUGGCUGUCAGCAUCAAUACUGGGAAUGGCAUGUGUCCCCGCUGGGUGGUCUGUCUCUGCUGUGGGAACCAGCUGGGGUUCACAUAGCAGGCCUGGGUCACUUGUCCAGGGCCUGGCCAGGGUCAGCUUUGUUCAGUCUCCACUUGAGCUGUUCUUCCACUGCUUUUAUAGCUCCCCAUGGAAAAGUGGCUGUUGAAAAUAAUUACGCUCUCUGCUCUAAAUCUAUAGGGGAGGACUUCAAAUGUAGUGGUAAUAUUCAGACUUAACUUGGUUUAAAAUAGGCCUAUAUAACAAAAUAUAAAGAUUUUAGCGUUCAGCAAAAUUACAUGGUGAAACAAGGAGAGUGCCCUGUGACUUGAGUUUGUUGGUGCCCGGGAAGGGAGAAGUAGACCUUUCACAGGCCAGGCCACGGGGUGCCUGCGCGCUCCAGCUGCAGGCAGUCUGGACUUUGCCUGCAGGCGGUUGGCACACACACGGCCCCGCCUGCCGGCUGGUGAGCUGCAGGGCCCAGUUCUUCCCAGGUCUUGUCCCAGGACACAUUCACGCAGAGCAGAGCGCUGGGGUGCCGUCCACUGGCAGCUCUGUCCAGCUGCCCUGUGUACAGAGCACACCAGGGCUCCUUUUUAAAUGUUUCCAAAGGCCAUCGUCUGCCAGCCCUGAGGCUUUUUAGAGGCUCCCUUGGGUUCUUGGGGUGACACAGCCCCAAGGUCUUGGCAGAGGGGCUGUGCCCGGGAUGGCUGCGUCGGGGGGAACCCCUGUGGCUGAGGCCACGAGCUCCUGUGCAGAUGCUUUGAAAACAUCAGUGCCUGCCGUGUGACACUCGUGCUCUGUGACACUCCUUUUGAUGGCUUGGCGUGAUCCCUGUCGGUCUUGUCUUGCAGGGUUCAGGACAAGUUGGAGGUGCUGAAUUACACGACCAUCCCUGUCUAUCUCCCGGAGAUCACCAUUGGGGCUCAUCAGAGUGACCGGGUCUUUCGAGCCUUCAGAGAGGUGAGUAGGAAGCCUGAGGGCCAGCCAGGCUGGGGUGGUGGUGGCCGCAGACACCACGACACUCCGCUGAAGAGUGGCUUGCUGCCUUGCCCUUCUGCAGUCCUGCUGGGGUCCUCAGGUGGAGGCAGGAGCAGCCGUGUUCUGGUGGCCCUGGCCGCCUGGCAUACAGCUAUCUUGAUGCACACACGUCCUCUGUUCCUCCGCCACCAUCUCCUCUCUGCUGUCACCUCAACUCUCACGUCCGUCUGUGAAUCAUGAGGCUCACGUUUCUACACAAGGGCCUCCAACCAGUGGGAGCACCGGGCCUGACAGUGGGCAGGAAGUUGGGGGCCAGCCCAUCCCACUCAUCCUGUCUGUGAUUUCCACGCCGUCCAGUGGAUUGUGUAUCCCCGUUGGCAUGGAGAGUCAUCCCCAGCCAGACUCUGAGGGAGGGACAGGGGCCAGCAGGAGAGCCGGGGCUGCUCUGGUCGUUGGCUACUGGCAAUGUGUGCGUGAUCGUAGUGGGGUCUGCACUCUGAGCUGAGCAGGGGACCCGUGAUGGGUUUGGAGAGGGACGCUUCUGCACUGCUGUGAUUUCAGGUGGGUGCUGCAGGUACCCCGAGGCGCGGAGGGUAUGCGUCACCUCCCUUGAGGUUACUUGGCUCCGUGCCUGUUUUUCUGGGGAAUGGACCCUUGAACCCAGGGGCUAUGCGUGCCAGCCACGUGCUCUACUCUGAUCUGUGCAUCUCCAGCCCAUCACUUUCUUUUUCGUGAAUUCUUUGGGUGGUUCUGACGUGACUUCUUCCAGUGUAGACUUGCAGCCCCGCCGACCCUGCCUGCACGCCGUGGCCCUGCCGCUGCUCCUGCUGUCCUGGCGCCCUGCAGGGUGCCUGCGCCGCUCCUCCUAAGCAGGCUGUGUGGACCUGCAGCUUUCUCCUCGGGCUCCUUCCGCCUGCCACCGCGAGGAGAAGCUGUGCCCACUGCAGGCCUCGCCUGCCCUCAGCUCUCCGGCUUCCGUCUUGCUGGCCUGGGAGCUGUUGCUGGGGCGUGGUGUCGGCCGAGCUGCCCUGUGGGCUCUGGGAAACCCCUGGUCUCCUAGUGGCCACUCCGACUUUAAAGCUUUUUUCAUUUGAUGUUCACGUGGCUUCCAAGCUUCUUUAAUUGAUGUUUAUUGGGUAGCUUUUCUCCACCCUGUAAUUUCAGCUUCUCUGUGUGUUUAUAUUUAAUGUAAGUACCUUAUAAAAAGCUUGUAGGUGUUUUUAAAUCUUUUGUUAGCCUGAACGUUGUUCGGAUUUAAUGCGUUCUUGAUAAAUCUGUAAAUAGCUUGUCUUGCUCUCAUGGUCUUCUUACCUGUUGAGUGCUGUUGUCCCUCUCUGGAUGAAGCUGUCCUCCCGCCCUCGCCCCUUCUGUUGCCUGCUGGUCCUCGUCCUCCUCACAGCUGGCAGUGACUGACCUGGAGAGGCGGGCGCUCCUCUCUGGCUGCCUGGAGUCCCGCGGCGCCUGUGGUUCUCCUGACUUUGCAGCGCUGCUCGGCCCUGUGUCCUCGGUCUGUGCCCCUCCAGCCCUCAGCCGUGCUCCGGUGCAGUCGGGGUUGAUGUGAUGCUCAGCCUGUGUUUUUGCCUUGCUAUGGCUCACACCUGCCUGGCACCUGCUUCUGUUCAGGAUCGCUGGCCUUCGGCCUGAAGAAUCCUUUGCAGAUAACAGAUUCUCACAUUUAUUUAAAAUGGCCUUUAGUUGGUCUUCAUUUUCUUUGUUUUAUUUUGGAGCAUCAAACAAGAAUAGAAAAUUAGCUUUUCCCAAACCACACUGCCCAGUUGGCAGAGUGCCACCCCUGCAUCACACCUCCUCCCUGGUCAGUCACCCCAUGGACGAGAGCUUCGUUCUCUCUGAUGGGCACCGAGGCUGGAGAACUCUGUUUGAAUGUGUCCUCCUCACAGGCACGGACGCGUCCCCUCACCAGCCAGCAGCUGUCCUGGUCCAGUAGAGCAGGCGCGUGCCUGUGCUGCAUGCUGGGCCACCUGCCACAGACCUGGUCAGCCCUCUAGGCCAGUGCUGUGACUCAAGCAGAGACCCUGCCAGGCCUGGCUCCUGGUCUCCUUGGUCUGCACUAGUUCCUGGGGCUUUGCUCAACGUUCAAGGCCUUGACACUCAGGAGGACCCCGGGACUGUAUUUUGAACAUCUCUCCGUUUGGUUUUAUUGGCUGUUUCCCAUGGUUAGGGUGGUUUUCCUUCUCCCUGUGGGACUGUUGGCGAACUCCUCGCCUCUCUUGAGAGUGGUAUCCUCACUGUGAGGUCACCCUGUGGCCUUUGGUGGCCAGUGCACCCUGGGCGCUUCGAGGCUGUGCAGGAGUUCUCCCUGAGGCUUCGCUCGGCCGUUGGAGCAGCCCUUGGAUUCUGGAUUGCGUUGGUUGUUAACAAGGUGGUUGCCGCGCUGUUCGGCUUUUUCAGGUCUGUCUUUCCUCCUGUGGCUCUAGGUAGUGUCCAGUCUGAGGAAACGUUUCUCCUACUGCACUGGUUUGUUCCUUAACGUGUCUGUGUCACCAUGGACCGCCCCCCACCCCAGGCUCCUGUCCACUCAGCUGCUGUUACCUGUGUCUGCUGGGAACAGUGUGUCCAGCCCAGCGUCUCUGCUCCAGUGUGACCCUGCAGGGUUCUUCUAGUGCCUGUGCCACCGUCUCAGAGUGGGAAGCCUGGUUCCAUCCCUGGUGUGGUGUUUCCUUGCUGGAUCGAUCCUUAUGUGUGACAAGCGUGCCAUCUCAGCUGCCAUGCUGGCCUGCCAAGAUUGCCACUGUCUGUCCCAGCCCUAGCUGGGCACAGUCACUUUAGGACUGAACUUGGGAGGAAGGCGACUGAUUCUUGAAGAACACUUGCAUUGGGUGUAGCCGCCCACAGUGCUGUUUUCCCCAGCACUUGCAAACUUUCAGUACUUCAUAACUCUGUCCUUUGCGUUUCUCUUGAGAAGCUUGCUCUUCCCCCUGAAGAUGCCUUUCUUCUUUCUCUGGCAGGGUCUCUUCUGUCAAACAGGUGUCUGGGUGGCUUUGCGCAUUGUCCAGGUUGUCCUUGCCCUUGGUGGGUGUGCGUCAGCUUGCUGUGGCCCAGCACUCUGCUCUCUGGCUGCUCUCUGCUGUCAGAUGACUGCCUUCCGUUCCCUCCUGCUCGCCUUUCAGGGGCCUGUCCUGCCCUGUCCUUGUGUCCUGUUGUGCCCCUCCCUUGUUUCUCAACAUGCUCAGCCUGGGAGCAGGGCGCGGUGGUACACACCUAUAAUCCCAGUGGCUUGGGAGGCUGAGCCAGGAGGAUCACAAAUUCAAAGCCAGGUUUUCUCCUGCAACUCAGCGAGACCCUGUUUCUAAAUAAAAUACAAGAUAGGGCUGGGAUGGGGCUCAGUGGUCGGGUGCCCCUGAGUUUAAUGCCUGGUACCGCGCAUCCCCUCCCCCAAAAAAACCCAAAAAAAACCCAAAAAACAUGCUCUACACUGUCUCCAAGUUCCUGAUCAUCUUUUGAGCUCUUUCUAACCUGUUGAUAGACCUGCAUUUCCUGCAUCUUAGUGUUUAAUUUUAAUUGUUGUCAAUUUUUGUCUCUAGAAUUUCCUGUCAUCAUUUUCACUUUCUGCUGUAACUGUUUUGUCGUCAGUGUCUUGGGCGUCCUGGUCCCAGGCACAGUGAACUGAUAACCGCAGCGUCUUCUCCGGGGUGGGCGAACCCUCGGGUCUCUUGCCCUGUGUUUCUGGUCACUGACUGCCUGGGGCUGUCCUUUGUUGUUUCGCAGUGCUCUCCACGGUGGCUGUUCAUCCUAAGACUGUGCAGGUUGCGCGAAGCUUCCGUGGCCCCGUCUCUGGCAGGCGUGGGAGGCAGAGCAGGUCCCAGUGCGUCCAAGAGCUGAGCGAGGGAGCCGGUUCUCUGGGUCUGGUGUGCUUCACUUGCUCUUCCCGAGAGGCCAACUUCAGGAGGGUCCCUUCUUUUUGGUGGGUCCUGAAAUUUUUGAGUUCUCUGGGUUGGAAAGUCCUGAUCAGUAUCUCAGAGGCUGCUGCUGGUGGAGGUGGACAGGCCCUUGGGUGGCAGGCACAGGCUCCGCAUUGCUUUCUCCUGGGACCCGGGAGCCCUCCUGCCUGGGGCUUGUGAGCCAGGUCCUUUCUGUAGGAGUGGUCAGGAGCAGGACCUGGUUGACCAAGCCAGUCACCCAAACUGGCCUCUCAGCUGUCUUAACCAGCUACAGGGAGAUUGCUUAGCACUUUCUUAUCAUUAUUGUGUUUUGUACAGUUUAACUUGUCAACAUAAAAGAGGAUAUUAUUGGGCUUGUGAUUUUAAUUUAAUGUUGAGAAAUGAUAAAAUUUUUAAUCAAUGUUUAAGUGAUUGGGGAAAUCUUUUUAAAAUUUGUACAUGUUUUUUAAAAACAAGCUGCAUUUUUGGAGCAGUUUUAGAUUUACAGAACAAUGACGUGGACGGUGGACAGGCCUCCUCUCCCCACGGUGCUUUUCCACAUCCUCCAGGUCGGGUGCAGAGCACGUGUUGUUAGUGAGGCCUCACGGACACCUCGCUGGAACCUGAACCUUGGGUCUCCCAGUGUCCCCCAGUCCAGGCCUCCCGGCAGGAGUCCCAAGCCUGCAGGCCCCUCUGGGCGGUGGCCUCUGCUCGGCCUUCCCUGACUUGGGCACCUUCGGCUGCCAGAAGGAGCACAGCGGCCGUUGUAGCACAGCCUCCGAUGGCUGGCCGGGCUUUUCUCAAGGUCAGCUGGGCUGGGCAGGGGUCGAGGUGCCCUGUCAGUGUGACCGUCACUUGGCAUCACUGACCACCUGGUCCAUGGAGAGUGGCUCUUCCCUCUUUCCAGAGGGUCGCCGCACGGUGUGGCUUUGUAUGUGCCUGUUGGGGAGAAUUGUGGGACCAUUGAGAGGAAUGCUUUUUUUUUUUAAGGAAAUUCAGUUGCUUGAUAUUAAAGAUUCUGCUUCUCUUCAUUGAUAGCAUUCCCUCUGGCCACUGAGGACAUAGUGAGGAUUGUCCCAAGUGUCCCCUGGAGGUGGCUUGUGGGGUGUGGCGAUGAGCAGUGGAGGGCUCUGGGUGCCUGAGCAGUGCUGAGGGUCUGGGUCCGUGGCUCCACACGUGGCUUCCCUGGGUGGACAGCUGCCCAGCUGUGCUCCGUCUUGCACGAGAGUCCCUCUGGUGAGCUGCAGCUGGCUGGUGGCCUCUUGGUGGCCUCGGCAGACAGGCAGAUGCCUACAUACCUGGCCUCCCUCCUCCAGCGCCCUGCGGAGGUCCAUGUGUUCCCACGCUCAAGAGGCAGAGUCAUAGGGCAGCUUCGUUCUCUGUGGCCAUCCCUUCAGACAGGCCACAUAUUAGGGACAACACACCCCACUGCAUUAAAACACAUUAUUCAAUCCCCAGCACCACAAAAAAAAAAAGAAAAAACAAAAAACAAACCCUUAGCCGUCCACCUCUUCUGCCCUGUCUUCCUUCCCUGGAGGCAGUUCCAGGGCCAUGGAGUGGAGAGGCCCGAAGGCAGGCUGUCCUGCAGGCGUCCCUCCUUAGUUGUUCAGGUCACAGUGCUCCUCCUUGUUCCUGUGGCUCCGCUGGGACCUCAGGCCUAGGCAAGACUGGAAGCCUGGGGCAGGGACCAUGCAGAUGGCAGUGUGCUGGCCUUGCUCCGAGAACACCCAGUGGAGGCUGCUCUUCCUGCAGACCCUCACCUCAGGCCAGCAGAAGGACACGCUGUCAGGUUGCUCUUGUCAGGUCAGAGGCUGGGCUUCUGAGGUUACUGAGGGUUACUGUGAAGUUGAAUUGCUAACCAGAUCCACUGCCGUUUUCCAGAUCUGAACAGAACAGAGCCUUUUAGAGAAGGGCUGGGAUUUGCUUCAUGGGCCUUUUGUUGAGAGGCUAGGAAAGUAGAAUCAGCCCCUUGGCAGGGGCAGAGGCAGUGCUGGGCCUGAGGCCGCAUGGACUGGCUCUUCACCUCGAGCUUGCUGCCUGAGAACCACCCUGCCCUCGAGCACAGGAAGUGGAAGCCAGCCGGGCCUACAGCACCUGCAAGUGCCCGUGGUGAGAAGACCUGCAGUUGUCCCUUCCAGAGCCUGCAGCUGCGUGGGCACCUCUCAGAAGAGGGGCCUUCCUGAUAAUGGCACAGGGGUGUUCCAUGGCCAGCUGUUUCCUGGAGCAGGAGGAAGGCAGCGGGGCCCUGGGCACCAGCACCUUGGAGGCACUUGCUCCCUUGUUAGGAAUUUGUUUUCUUUUUUUGGCACUGGGAUUGAACCCAGGGACGCUCAACCACUGCCACAUCCCCAGCCCAUUUUUUAUUUUGAGAUGAGAUCUAAAUUGCUGAGAUCCUUGCUAAGUUGCUGAGGCUGGCUUUGAACUUGCAAUCCUCCUGCCUCAGCCUCCUGAGCCACUAGGAUUAUAGGUGUGCACCACCAGGCCCAGCAGGAACUUUUUUAAAAAGGUAGAAACACAUGGGUUUUCACCAGACUCCACCAACAACAGGAGUCCUUUAUAUAAUCUCAGUUAACAUUAGAAAGACAAACGAAUUGCCAAGAGCAUAGCUCUAGUUUUGUGAGAAGCUUGAACUUGGGGCGUGGAGGAGGCAGGUGCUGAGUGUGUCCUGGUGCACCCCUUCUCUCCCGUGGUCGGGUCUCACAGUGCCUGGCGCUGGCUCUGCUUGGAGUCUUGGAGACGGAACCAUCUUUUGCUGCCCGUCCUGAAAUUCAUUAAUUAGUGUAGUGUUGUUAUCUCUUUGAGAUCUUUCCGACUUUUUUGUCCUUGGGAGUUUUGUAGCUGAACAAACAAGAUAGGUCUUGGUUUGACUUUGUUUACGGCAGUGUUUGCCAGACCUGCUCCUGGCUCGGGCUUCCGCUGCUGGGCUCCUGAGUGCUGAAACUGCGUUCCUGCGUGGUCUGUGUCCACCUGUGGUUCCCAGGCUCCUUCACUUUGUCUUGCCUUGGUUUUCCUUGCUCUUACCCUUGGAGGCUCAUUUUCCCCUGUUAUGGGACUCUGGAGUCUUGGCUCCUCUUUGUGGGGCCUCUGCCCUGGGCAUCGCCUCCUGAGGAGGACUGGCCUGGCCGGUAGAAUGUAGGAGCCCGACACACGCAGGGUGCUCAGAUACCGCCUUGCCUUGGUGGUGUGAGUGUGUCCCAAGUGCCGCAUCCACUGUUCGUCCUGCGUCUGGAGCUAGCUCUGGCCGCCCUUCCCCAGGUUCCUGGGCCCAGGAUCGUGGAGCGACUGGGAAGACAGCCACCUGGUGCUCAGCCAAGCCCCAGGCUCAGCCCCCAGCAUUGCCAUGUUGAGCUCCCCCCUCAGUCUCUCACCCCUCGGCAGAUGUCUGACAGGUCUCCAGCAUAGGGUGAUGUCGGGGUGCAACAGGCCUUGUCCAGGAGCCUGCAUCCUCGUGGGCAGCAGGGAUGAGCAGUACGCAGGAGGCAUCUGAGACCAGGCCAGACACGGGCUGCCUUGCCGAGAGGCAGCACUGGAGCCGUGAGGAGCAGCCCACCUCGGGCAGGGAGCAGGCGGGCAGUCUGCGAGCAGGAGAGCCUCCUGCCCAGGAACGUGCUGAGGCCAUCCAGGCAAGGCCAGGAGGGCCUGCGGGCUGCAGAGAGGACUGGUGCUCUCAGGCUGUGGGCCCACUCAAGUCCUCCUUUGCAGCCGUGUGUGUGUUGGACGUGACAGGGCCAGGGUGCAGGUUGGGAAAGGUUGGGAGCAUCUCCCCAGUUCUGGAUGGAGACGCUGAGGCCUGAGCGUGGCCCGAGGCCAGUGCCCUCCUUCCCCCCAGGCCUCCCUCUUUGCGCAGCCAGGUCUGUUCUUGCCUCAGGUUUUCAAAACUCCGCAGACCGUGGGCUUCAGGGUGGGUGGGGAAGCUGGGGGAGCGGCCCAGGCCUGGCGCGGCGGCUUCCUCGCCCGGGCAGGGCUUACUCACAGACAGCACCGGAGUCCACUGAGCGGCUACUCUGGCUUUCAGAGAAGGGAGGUGGCUCUUGGUGACAGUGGACGUGGGCGAGGGUUCUCUGGGGCUGGGUGUGCUCACCGUGGGUAUCCCACUGACUGGUUUAGCUCUGCCAGUGACCAGCGCAGGAGCCGUGAAGGCUGGGCCAGCUGAGCCCGAGCCUGAGCAGGUUGGGACUGAGCUUGUCACAAGAGGAAGCCAUCGGUCCCACUCCUGCUGCAGGAGUGUAGCUAGACCGCCCCGAGCAGAGCCUGCAGGUGUUGGGAAACGUCCUGGCUGGUGGGGGACAGGCUCGCCAACUCCCGCGCAGCCUUGGCCUAGUGACCUGCCGUUGCCAGGAGGUUCCAGGGUGUGGGCCUGGUUCUGACCGAGCAGGCUGCCUUUCACACCGCGCUCGCUCAGCAGUCGUAGGAGGGUCGCUUCUGCCCCUGCAGCCUCACGCUUCCCAGGCCUCGCUGCGCAGGCACGCCUCUCCUGGCCUGCCCAGAGGAGCAGUACUGCUGCUGCCACCAGCGUCCAGCAGGGCUUGCCCCAGCUAAUAGGUCUGGUGGCCCCGGAGCUGCCUGCCAACCUGAGGCUGCCAGGGAGGACCAGCUCACCGAGUGCUGGGCAGGGGCCAACCCGUGGAGGUGUGUGCAGAGCGCAGCUCCCAUCCCAGGCACUGCGGGAGGGUCGCAGCCAGCAGGCCCUUGCAGGAUGCUGCUGUGACAACUGGGUCAUCACAGACCGUGGGGACGGUCUCAGGAGAGCGCAGGGAUCUGCUAGCCACCUUUUACUAGCUUCUCGUUUUAUUGUUUUUAAAGGCCAAGACCUCCUGAGUGUGUGUAAGGAAAGAGCAGAUGCCACUGGUUGGUGUGCAGGAGGUGUGAGAGAGAGACCGGGCAGCGGGUGGGAUGGGGCCUAGGGCCUCAUUUCUGGGCGCAGCAGAAGGGCAGGGGCCAUGCCAGUGCCAAUCACUGCUCAUUUUAUAAGACCACCAAGCUCCUCUCUAGAGGGGUGCAGGGGUUCAGGGGUGCUGCGCAGGAGAAGGACUCACUGCUUCCUGGUGGUGCAGGGCGCAUGGGCUGGUGGGAGUCUUCCUGUGGCCCCACCUCAGGACCUCGCUGGCUCCGGGUUGAAGUUUCUCGUCCCCUUGUUGGCAGCCACUGGUGCACACGCAGGGCAGGUCGAGCUGCUGGGCUUUCUACAGUGUUCACACACUUGUGUCAGCACCAUUUCCAAGGUGGUGGAAGCACGUGGUGGCCAGAGUGUCUGGAAGCAGCUGGCGCCACUGCGGGGCUCAGCGCUCUUGGGCCACGCCGAGCCGUGGCACCAGGCUGCCACGCUGGGCCGCGGAAGCCGCCUUUUCCCAAUCGCUGCACACUCAAGUGGACAGUUCAGAUAGGCUGUCCGGGGAGGUAAGGGCCUGGUGCCCGCACCCCAGCAGUGUGGCCGUGCAGGACCAGGACGCAGAGAUGGCGCUGAUGGGACUCUGAGCCUCGGGUUCCUUCACCUGGUGGCAUCGUGGCUGGGGGACUGAAUGCCAGCAGAACGUGGUGGUUGGGGUGAGUUGGCCACCCUUGAUGGCAGGCGGAAGCUGCAGCUGUCUCUCCUGGCCUUCAGUGGGAGCCUAGGGAGCGCAGCGUGGGGACCUAGACCUCCCACUGCUCUGUGGUGGCGGAGUCGAGGCCCUGAGGCCCGAGUCUCAGAAGGUUCCCACCAACCCAUUGCUUGGGCUCUGCAGGUCUUGCCUUUGCUUGAACUUGGACCCCUCUGUUUGAUGCAGUGAUCUGCAUCGGGCGGCCUCUGGAAGGGGCUGCUGCCCUGGGGCUGGCUGCACGGGGGAGUGGUUCUCCCAGGAGCUCACUUUUUCUGCUUAUCCGCUCAGUCCUCAGGCCCUGGGCCGUUCACCGUUUGUCCUUGCAGGACAGCUCCUAGGCCUUCAAGCCUGCCAGCACGAGCCCUGCCUCUCUGCGCACUCACCUGUUGCCUGGACGCUGCAUGGGGACACAGAUGCAGGCACAGCCCGUCCCUGCAGACCUGCUGGGCAGGAGGCAGGGCAGCCGUGGGCGUGGCAUGGUGUGAGGGAGGAGGUGUGGUGUGGUCCCAGGGCCUGGGGUCGUGACCCUCAGGAUUCUCACAGGAGAAGUGAACUUGGCCCAGCAGGAGAAGGUCAGGGGCAGCUGAGGGCAGGACUGCUGGCCUGAGGGCAUGGGGCUGCUUGGUGGCCACCUGGUGGUGUGUAAAGGGGAGGGCAGCGGGCCAGCGGGGCGUGCUGGUGCUGCUGCAGGUGGUGAGAGAGGCUACCUAAGCACCGCCGGAACAUGUCCCUGCCUCGCCAAGCAAGGGCGUGGCCAGUGUGCCGGGGAGAGUUAGGAAAGGUGCUCAGGAUGGUGGACUGGGGCGAGGGAGGAUUCCAGGGCUGUUUUGAACACCUCGCCGGCUCUGGGAGACCUGGGAGUGAAUCCUAGAGGGUGGACAACAGAGUGAGGCUCAGGAAAGUUACUGGAGGUGACAGUGCAGGUGAAGGUACAGGGUGGUGGCCCAAGACUUUCCCAGUAGGAGGAGUGGCUUUGGUCGUGAAGGGCAGGAGACAUAACCCUGGGCUUAUUUCCAGGAUGGCUCCAGCUCCCUCCCGUGUGGGUGCCUGGGCAGGUACACAGGUCAGUCUGGUGCCCUGGCUUGUAGAGCUGGCAGGGGUCUUGGAAGGGGCUGUGUUUCGAGGUGGUCACGGGGGAAGCAGGACCUGGCAGAGGCAGGGGCUGGCGCUCACAGCAGUGACUGCUGAGUACCACGGGCACCUACUGUGUGCUGGGCACCGUGUGGUGGCCACAAGGAAGCGCCUGUCCCUCCCACUUGCAGAGGCGUGGUCAGCAUGCAGGUGCCUGGGCGGUGCGCAGCCCCUGGCCUGGCGCUGCAGCGGUCGUCCUGGGUAGGCAGCAUUUCCUGCUCUGCCGACUGACGUGGGCACAGAUACGCAACCAGAGACUGCUGCAGAGGACGAGGCAGCUCAGGUGUUCAUAGGGGUGGUUUUGUUUUGUGUCUUCAUGGGUCCUGUGACCUUGGCGUUCUUGACCAGUCCUGCCACUGGUCUGGCUGGAGUGCUAGAGGCUCUCAGUGUCUGUCAGCUUCCAGGUGACUGCCCCGUGCCUGGCCACUGUGCCUGGGGAUCCAGGAUUUCAGCCCGGGUGGCUCUCAGAAGAGCAGGAGGACUGGGACCCCAGCAGUACUUGUUAACAGGUUUCCAUCCGUGACCUCCCAGUUCUGUGCUUGGAGCCGUGCCUACUCGUGGUCAUGGAGAGCCUGAGCACCGUCAGCAGGCCCGCUUUUCACAGCCACUUUCCAGUUCCGCACAGAGCUGCUCUGGGGCCACAGACUGAUUGGUCUUUGUCUCCCUGACUUGGUCCCUUCCCGCCAGUGAGGCCAGGGGCUGCUAAGAGGCUGAGCUCCUCCCGUGGAUCCAAGGGCCGAGGCGGUGGCCAGGACGGCAGAGUCUUCUGCUUUCUGACCUGCUAGUUUUUAUUUCUUAACUGUCUCAAGUUGUGUCAUCCUCGGUCUCAAAUCCUCCUUUACCGCAGAGUUGUCUUUAGUACCUCCGUUGUGCUGACACUGCGGUCUGGCCCUUAGGGACUUCACCGUAGUGUGCUCACCUGCAGUCAGCAGUGGGUACCAGGAGAGUUACCGGACCUGUAGAGGAAGACCACCGCCCGUGGUGGUCGGAAUGUCCUCGUGGCGUUCAGCCCAGAGCUCCCCUGGGAAUCUGGUUAUGAAGUCAGAGUCCAGAUCUCAGCUAGAGCAGGGCUGGGAGGAGACGGGUCUGCCUGCCUUCAUGCCUGCUCUGCAGAACCCCAGCACCUGGCAUCAGUCUGCCACCUCAGUUACCCACAUAGGAAAUCGGCACAGGAGGGUGGGUUUGCUCGCCACUGCUGGUGACCGUGUGUGAAGAUGUGCUGACCUGAGUGGGGGGCUCGGCAUGGCCUGGAGGUCCAGAGCGUCACUGUCCGGACACACGACAGACGUCUGUGGGCGCUGGGAGGGGCUUGCUGUCUCCAGCGUGUGAGCAGGUGCUUGGGAGCCCUUCUGCCGGUCACGGCUGGUGCCAGUUGAGGGGUGAACACUGGGGACUGGGCUGCCGUGGUGUGCGUCCCAGUGAGCAUCCCAGCGACAGGUGGCCUGCCUGUACACAGACACCAUGCCUGUAUGGCAGACAGAGGGUGGCUUUUUGAAACUUGACGUGGACAAUGGAAAUAUUUCUCUUGAAAUUGACUGUGAUCCUGACUUGUGGAGAACAGUCAUAGAAGUCUUAGGGAAAUGGCACACUGAGGAAAUGGUCAGCAGUCUCCAUGAUGUUAUUUCUUACAAUUAACGACAGCAUUCGGAGCAGAGCUCAUCUGUGUACACAUAGUGACGGAAACAGGAGCUGACCAGAAUCCCCGCGUCCCUCAGAGGCCCAGAGGAGGCAGACCUGCCGUCCCUGACGCAGCCCUUUCCUGCCCGCAGCUACGUUCAGUCCUGUCUCCUCUGCGCUCCCUGUUUACAGGAGCUCCACUGGGGUCCGUCCCUGUGUACCUGUGUGUGACACCAGCACUGAGUGUCCUCCAGGAGGACUCUGAACAGGGCUGUGGGUGAACGCCCCGUUGCCCCCGAGGUCCAGCCUGCGGGCUGGGGGCAGCCCCCACUGCCCGGUGCGCUCCUCCUCGCGCGGUGGCCAGGAGGCCCGGGUCUCCCUCUCCUUUCCCGGCCGCGUGUGCUCUGCCCUGGGCUGUUUCGGGGGCCUGCUGGCUUCUCUCCUGGCGGCUCCGGCUGUGCCUCUGGCUUGCCGUGGCGGUUCCUGCUUUCCACUUCCAUGGGCACCGCGCCUGCCGCGGGCCUCUCGGUGGGGGCUCUCAUCCUCGUUGUCUUUGGAGAGUCUUGAAGGGACUCCUAGCCUCGCACCAUCCGCACGUCCCUGCCACCUCGGGCCUCGUGCCUUCGUCUGGACCCAGGUGUGGUCGGCACCAUAUUCCGUGAGCUGGGCGGCCUCUGUAGCAGUGUUCCCAGGGCACGGCACGGUGACAACUGCUGUUGACUGCUGUUCAUAACCACGUUCCUUCCUGCUCCACUCGGCACUGGCAGUGCCUGCCUCCGGGUGGUGUGUCCCCUUCCCACAGCAGAGCAGAUGCCCACGGCCCGGGCGCCUGGCUGCUGUCGGGAAGUCCGCGGCUGCUCUGGUCUCUCUUCCUGGCACCCGCGCACCCUCCCCUCCGGCUGCUCCUGGAGCUUCCAGAGUCGGGUCACGCGCCUCGCGCUGCCUCGCUGUCCUUACCUCGGGUGGGGGCCCUCGGCUUCCUGGAAGCGCAGGUUGCCGUCUCUGAACUUUGGGGGCCCUCCCUCCCCUUCUCGGAUGUGUGUCCACGUGCACGGGGCUGGCCUUCUCCACAGGCCGCGGCUUGCUUUCAGCUGCUUGUUCUGUACCAUCCGUGUCCUGGGUGCCUGACACCCAGGUGGCUGUCUCUGGGCCACUGACCUCUCCUCUGUCCUCUGGGGUGAGUUUCACUGUGGAAGGGCUUCAUGUGGGGAAGUGCCCAGGGAGGGUCGGGGAGGCGCUGAGGGGGCGGGAGGGCCUGGGGACAAGCACAUGGCACAGUGGACGCUCACAGCCCCAGGGGCUACGUGGAGGUGGCUGUUCUGGGGAGAGCGCGACUCCUGGUUUGCACGUGGGGCUCGGGAAAGGCCACCCUCUGGGGGGGGGCUCUCAGUAGGCCCGCCCUCCCCUCAGCACCCAAGCAUGCGAGUGCUUCAUGGCAGCCACCUCCAUGUCCCGGUCCCCUGUCCAUCACCUGGCACUCCUGCUUUUCGCCUUGGUUGGGGUCUCGUUCUGGGUCUGAGACAAGCGUUGGGGUUUCUGGUGGGUGGGGGGCUGCUUGCAUGGCAGCGUUGAGCCUGUUUGGAUGGGAGUUUCAGUUUGGGGGGCUUCUGGGGCAGCUGGUCUUCGGGGGACAGUGUACACACUAGGAUUGGCCUGGGGGCUCUCUUCCUGCCCUGUGUGCACGGAGAGGCUGGUGGUGGGACGCUGACCCGAGUCCUGGGCAAGCGGCUCCGGCAUGGACGCCACCGCCCGGAGCUCUACUUGUGAGCAGGAGGCCCUCGCCAGAGACCAGGGGCCCCAUGCAGGUUUGGGAGCUCCUUCUGUCACCCCCACGUGAGGCAGAGAGGCCGGGAGCCUGACGAGCCUCCUCAGGAGAGGCUGACACCCACGCCGGUCACGCAUCUGGGCAGCGGUGCAGCAACCUGGACCAGGCCUUUCACAGGUUGGGUGGCGGCUGGGGCUGCGCAGCACCAGCCGCAGUGACCUCCUGCCCACGGUCCGGUCCGUUGCUGGCUGUCAGUGGGUGUUCGGGUCAUGAUGGGGAAGCCUGUUCUCGGGCCCUGUCCCCUCCUGCAUUUCCCCCAGUGACACCCUCCUGGUGUCUGUAGGAACCCGGGGGGUGGGGGGUGCUGUCUGUCCAGGUCCCCGCCUAGGGUGGUAGGCCUGCAGGCGGGGCAGCCUCCCGCAGCUCCUCCCUCAGGCAGAGUGGCUGGGCGAGUGAAGGGGCGCGAGUGCGGGCACCAGGGCGCACACUGCACUCUGACACCGGCCACUUCUUCCUCCCCAGCUGCCGGGCCGCAGGUACCGCCCCGGGUACAACGCCGACGUGGGCGACAAGUGGAUCUGGCUGAAGUGAGCGGCGCCCACCAGGCUGUCACGGCACGAGGACGCCUCUGUCCCGUCCCUCUCACGGACUCCACGGAGCUGUGCAGCUGCGGGAUGCAGAUGGUGGUGAGCUGCGCGGAGGGCCCAGCAAAUGCAGCCCACCCAGUGCGGCCUGUGGAGUUUGGGAAACAACUUCUCUUGCCGGCCUCGGGCCUUCUGGCUGUGUUCUGAAGUCACCGUGAUUGUCACUGGGGAGGAGCGGCAUUUGCUGUCAAGCCCAGCUGUCGCCGAGGCGUGGUGUCCGCCCAGCUCCGUCACCACGGUGGCGCGCUGUUCCUCUGACUUGAA